AAGUCGUAACAAGGUCUCCGUAGGUGAACCUGCGGAGGGAUCAUUAACACUUUUUCUGAGAGAGUGAGAUCGAUCUUACGGUCGAUUUCACUUCUUUCUUAUCCACUCGUGAACUUAACUUAUGCCCCUUUUUUUUUUAUUGUUUUCUAAAACCAUUUUCCAACUGCUAACUGCUAUAUAACAAUACAUGUUAUCUCCUGUCUUUUUUGACAGUGUUAUAAUAUGUCAAUAUAGUUAUAAUCAACAGCACAACUCUUAGCAACGGAUAUCUCGGUUCUCGUAACGAUGAAAAACGCAGC
RNAcentral lists this unclassified non-coding RNA (299 nucleotides) under fungal sp. RNAcentral's name for it is "partial internal transcribed spacer region". The stretch from base 1 to 46 matches the Rfam family "Eukaryotic small subunit ribosomal RNA", at positions 1786 to 1831 of the family's 1831-position model. The record is from RNAcentral. Lineage: Eukaryota; Fungi.